UACGUAGGGGGCUAGCGUUGUCCGGAAUCAUUGGGCGUAAAGAGCGUGUAGGCGGCCCGGUAAGUCCGCUGUGAAAGUCGGGGGCUCAACCCUCGAAUGCCGGUGGAUACUGUCGGGCUAGAGUGCGGAAGAGGCGAGUGGAAUUCCUGGUGUAGUGGUGAAAUGCGUAGAUAUUAGGAAGAACACCCGUGGCGAAGGCGGCUCUCUGGGACGGUACUGACGCUGAGACGCGAAAGCGUGGGGAGCGAACAGG
This 253-nucleotide ribosomal RNA is filed under the name uncultured bacterium. Its description in RNAcentral is "partial 16S ribosomal RNA". It matches the Rfam family "Bacterial small subunit ribosomal RNA", at positions 524 to 776 of the family's 1533-position model. The record is from RNAcentral.